UGAAAUGCUUAGAUAUCACGANGAACUCCGAUUGCGAAGGCAGCUUGCUGGACUGUAACUGACGNUGAGGCACGAAAGCGUNGGGGAUCAAACAGGAUUAGAUNCCNUGGUAGNCCACGCCGUAAACGAUGAAUGCUAGCUGUUAGCGAUAUACUGUUAGCGGCACAGAGAAAUCGUUAAGCAUUCCACCUGGGGAGUACGCCGGCAACGGUGAAACUCAAAGGAAUUGACGGGGGCCCGCACAAGCGGAGGAACAUGUGGUUUAAUUCGAUGAUACGCGAGGAACCUUACCUGGGCUUAAAUUGCAGUGGAAUAACGUGGAAACAUGUUAGCCUUCGGGCCGCUGUGAAGGUGCUGCAUGGUUGUCGUCAGCUCGUGCCGUGAGGUGUCGGCUUAAGUGCCAUAACGAGCGCAACCCUCAUCGAUAGUUACUAACAGGUUAAGCUGAGGACUCUAUCGAGACUGCCGACGUAAGUCGUGAGGAAGGUGGGGAUGACGUCAAAUCAGCACGGCCCUUACGUCCAGGGCUACACACGUGUUACAAUGGGGGGUACAAAGGGCAGCUACCUGGCGACAGGAUGCUAAUCUCAAAAACCUCUCUCAGUUCGGAUUGGAGUCUGCAACCCGACUCCAUGAAGCUGGAUUCGCUAGUAAUCGCGCAUCAGCCACGGCGCGGUGAAUACGUUCCCGGGCCUUGUACACACCGCCCGUCAAGCCAUGGGAGCCGGGGGGACCUGAAGUAUGCAACCGUAAGGAGCGUCCUAGGGUAAAACUGGUGACUGGGGCU
This 787-nucleotide ribosomal RNA is filed under the name uncultured prokaryote. RNAcentral describes it as "bacterial SSU rRNA". It matches the Rfam family "Bacterial small subunit ribosomal RNA", at positions 682 to 1482 of the family's 1533-position model. The record is from RNAcentral.